GGGCUCGUAGCUUAGCCUGGGAGAGCACUACGCUGAAGCCGUAGGUAUCGGCGGUUCAAAUCCGCCCGAGCCCA
Molecule: transfer RNA, 74 nt
Filed under: Candidatus Woesearchaeota archaeon
Lineage: Archaea; Nanobdellati; Candidatus Woesearchaeota
Description: tRNA-Phe
Rfam family: tRNA
About the family: Transfer RNA (tRNA) molecules are approximately 80 nucleotides in length. Their secondary structure includes four short double-helical elements and three loops (D, anti-codon, and T loops).
Source: RNAcentral